Non-coding RNA from Candidatus Woykebacteria bacterium RBG_16_39_9b, 72 nucleotides. The record is from Rfam. NCBI's taxonomy places the organism in Bacteria, Candidatus Woykeibacteriota.
GCGGACGUAGAUCAAUGGUAGAUCAUCAGCUUCCCAAGCUGAGGGUUGCGGGUUCGAGUCCCGUCGUCCGCU